This 306-nucleotide long non-coding RNA is filed under the name Elaeis guineensis (African oil palm). Its description in RNAcentral is "long non-coding RNA (EGUI_LNC005242)". The record is from RNAcentral. Lineage: Eukaryota; Viridiplantae; Streptophyta; Magnoliopsida; Arecales; Arecaceae.
CGGCCCAUGUCGUGUUGAGAAAUAAUAAUCCUACAUCGGAUAGACUAAGAAUCCUUGUGGUGCUUAUAAUUUCUUUGAGCCAACCAUUAAAUGCCCGAGUUUAUUUUGCACACUCCCAACUUAAAUGAAUGUUUGGAUAUAGGAAAUACACCUCGCCUCGAUUGUACGAGAUUUAAGAUUUUUUUUUUUGUUUUUCAGCUAGAUUAUUGUUGUUGUAACUACGGUGCCAGGUGAGAUAGUGUCCAAUUUAGAAAUUGGCCUUCUAGUUGCUUGUCUAGUGGACGAGUUUCACAAGAAUGAGAACAA